GUACACCUUCAGGUUGAUCCACCUGAUGACAUCAAGUGGAACCUCACGGCAAACGACAAAUACUCUUCCACCUCGGCUUACAAGGCACAGUUUGUCGGGGCAGUGGCAACCAACAUGACGAAGGUGGUUUGGGGGAACUGGGUGCCUCCAAAGUGUAAGUUCUUUGCGUGGCUUGUUACCAAGGAUAGGGUGUGGACGGCUGACCAUUUGCAGCAACGAGGAUGGACGAAUUGCAAUUUAUGCCAACCAUGCAAGAGGGAGCCUGAGACGGCGGUGCAUUUACUAUUCAAGUGCAGCUAUUCCAGCCGCAUAUGGAACGCGGUGAGAUGCUGGCUGGAUGUGCCUGAGCUAGACACUAUCGCUUGGGCAGGGAUCCCAACAGUCCAGGAGUGAUUGGCUAGGACCGUGCUCAGGCGUGGGCACCGUAAAAAGAUCGUAUCCACACUUAUAUCGCUCAUAUCCUGGGAGGUUUGGAAAGAGAGAAAUACGAGGGUGUUCCAGAAGAAAUCUUCCAUGCCAACAACUGUGUUCGAGGGCAUCAAAGUAGAGGCCAAACAUUGGGUCUUGGCCGGGGCUAUACAUUUGGGAUCAUUGAUGCUGCGAGGGUAG
RNAcentral lists this ribosomal RNA (609 nucleotides) under Triticum aestivum (bread wheat). Its description in RNAcentral is "partial small subunit ribosomal RNA". The record is from RNAcentral. Lineage: Eukaryota; Viridiplantae; Streptophyta; Magnoliopsida; Poales; Poaceae.